This 497-nucleotide ribosomal RNA is filed under the name uncultured bacterium. RNAcentral describes it as "partial 16S ribosomal RNA". It matches the Rfam family "Bacterial small subunit ribosomal RNA", at positions 28 to 507 of the family's 1533-position model. The record is from RNAcentral.
GAUGAACGCUGGCGGCGUGCCUAAUACAUGCAAGUCGAACGCUGAAGCUUGGUGCUUGCACCGAGCGGAUGAGUUGCGAACGGGUGAGUAACGCGUAGGUAACCUGCCUCUUAGCGGGGGAUAACUACUGGAAACGAUAGCUAAUACCGCAUAAAAGUCGAUAUCGCAUGAUAUUGAUUUGAAAGGUGCAAAUGCAUCACUAAGAGAUGGACCUGCGUUGUAUUAGCUAGUUGGUGAGGUAACGGCUCACCAAGGCGACGAUACAUAGCCGACCUGAGAGGGUGAUCGGCCACACUGGGACUGAGACACGGCCCAGACUCCUACGGGAGGCAGCAGUAGGGAAUCUUCGGCAAUGGGGGCAACCCUGACCGAGCAACGCCGCGUGAGUGAAGAAGGUUUUCGGAUCGUAAAGCUCUGUUGUAAGAGAAGAACGAGUGUGAGAGUGGAAAGUUCACACUGUGACGGUAACUGACCAGAAAGGGACGGCUAACUACGUG